AAAGGGAGAAACAAUUAUUGCACUUUCUGAAUAAACAUGAUUAUCUCAGAAAAGACAAGAAAGCAAAAAGGCAAAGAACAGGGGGGAAAGCAACAUGGAGAUGCUUCUAUCUGCUGCAACGGUUCCUCUGUUACAUGAAUGAGUGAUGUCUCUUAUGGAGCACAAAACAACAAGUGUACACAAAAUCCUUGGACUGCCUCAAGUUCAGAGAUCCCUUUUCUAAUCUACAGUAUGUUUAGGAACUGAAAUGGAAGGUGGAGGGGAGAAACCCCACAGGACCAGAAAUAAAUAAAAUUGGCUUCUCUUACCAUCCACUUCCAUCAACUUCCUAAAAGACACCAGGCAAAUCACUUUUUUCCCUGGCUGUCAUUUCUCCUCUUUAUAAAUAAGCAGAAAUACUAUCUCCACCUUCUUUUUUUCUGCCUGCUUUUCCUGUUCAGACUGUACACUUUUGGGGACCCUGUGACUGACCAGUGCCCAGGAAAACACUGUCAACAGAAGACGCAGCAGACGAAAACUACUUGGAUUUGAAAGAUUAGAUUUUUCUAUACUCCACAUCUGAGGAAUGCUAUCCCAGCUUAGGGAUAAUCGUUGUUUCAGGGCAGGAAGGGGUUAAUCCCACCUUUGUUUAGUUACAUACAUUUUCUAACAAAACAAGAGAGACAGAGAACAAAAGCCCGAAUUUAUGGCUUGUCUUUCUGCAAGACAAUCUGCUUACACUAAAACAAAGCAUGGAUUUACAGUACACUGGGUGACUGCACCAACUCCCAGUACGGACACAAACAAGGUACAUUUUGAAAAUCUAGAUUGCAGCUGACAACUCUUGCCUCGUACUGCUGAAGGCUGAGAGACAGCCUGAAGAAAACACCGGACACAGAGGACCUGAACGCACAAGGGGGAGCAAAGCAACGUAAUCCCCUUUCAGGGGCAGCAGCAGAUUGAGACCACAGCCAUCACAAGGGGAAGAAGCCUUUAAAAAAAAAUGCUCACAGGAAAAAGAAAGUUCAGGCAAUAUGUGAGCUCUCCUACAACUAGAUGACACCAAAUUCAACUAUGUCAUGAUCAUGCAAUACUGCAAAGAUACUUCAAGUAAUGUGAACACACACUUCAUAAAUAUACAAAAGGAGGAGAUCCUGCCUUCUUUCCUCUAGGAAGAAACCUUGAGGAAAGAAGAUAAGACCAGAAAAAGAUAAUUUAAACUAAGAAGCAAAAGAAGAAGCACAAUGUUGUCACUCUCAAGAGUACUGCAAUAAACCUGUCACAGGUCAGUCUGCUCCAGGAUGCAAGUACACCAAAGAGGGACUGGUAGCAGGCAAGUGUCUCUCUCCUGGCAAGGACAUAUACUAUCUUCAAGCUCACACAUCUGGUUGAAUCAGGAAUGUCAACCUCUAGAAGCACUGCUGCCAAGAACUGAAAUCACCAUGGCUGCCUGGGCAACACAGGUGAAUGAGUGUGUAUUCAUUUACCACAUCCUGCUGACUCAGGCCAGGUAAGGAACUUGUUUGGAAACACCUCUAAUGUUAUGUGCAAGUAGGUACCUUUUCCUACUGCCCUGACUCCUGCUGUUAGCACUGACACAGAAGAUAAAAGAACUUUAUGCAUACAAAAUAGGAUGUAGCCUGGUACAAUUUAAUUCAAUGUUUUCUAAUGACAAUGAUCUCAAAAUACAAAAGUGUAUUUCAAAGAAGGAAUGGAAAGCAGUAUCCACCUCUGCUGGAGCUCAGAAGCAGAACUGAAUGAACUGCAAUUAAUGGGUGAAGGCCUCGAGUGAGGAAAAAAAAAAGGUUAGGGUAAAAUGAGAGAAAGCAUUUAGAGAAGCAAAGGUGAAAGAACAGCAAGCAGAAUUCAGAAGAGCUAACAAGGGUUCGAAGAGCAAAGCAAAGAAUGUCAGAGAAGCAACUAAAAGUAUUCCAGGGGGGAAAAAAGUUCCAAACAGUAAUGCAAGAAAAAAAUACCCAAACAUAUCACUACUUUGGAAACGAUGCAAAUGUGCAACAGU
Prinia subflava (tawny-flanked prinia) is the source of this 1999-nucleotide long non-coding RNA. RefSeq lists it as uncharacterized. NCBI's taxonomy places the organism in Eukaryota, Metazoa, Chordata, Aves, Passeriformes, Cisticolidae. The record is from RefSeq and is a predicted model, not a curated record. The transcript is spliced from 3 exons.